RNAcentral lists this ribosomal RNA (253 nucleotides) under uncultured bacterium. RNAcentral's name for it is "partial 16S ribosomal RNA". It matches the Rfam family "Bacterial small subunit ribosomal RNA", at positions 524 to 776 of the family's 1533-position model. The record is from RNAcentral.
UACGGAGGGUGCAAGCGUUAUCCGGAUUCACUGGGUUUAAAGGGUGCGUAGGUGGAUCUAUAAGUCAGUGGUGAAAGCCCCGAGCUCAACUUGGGAAUUGCCAUUGAUACUGUAGAUCUUGAGUGCGGUUGAGGUAGGCGGAAUGUUGCAUGUAGCGGUGAAAUGCGUAGAUAUCUGGAGGAACACCGGUGGCGAAGGCGGCAUCCUGGACCGGUAUUGACGCUGAGGAGCGAAAGCCAGGGGAGCAAACGGG